GUUGGUGCGGUGAUCGCGCAGGUUCAAGCGUCGCCGAAGGUGCCGAGACGGCGGCGGAGAUCGUCCCGUUUCGUCCACCGGAGGCGGCGUCGUACUCCUCGCGAGCACGAGCCAGCAGCGGUUGGACCGGAGCCACAAGGCGACGGCGGAAGGUGAGUUGACGUGGGCUCGUCUCGCGUCGACGGCUUACAGCCCCGUCGUACGGUGCUCCGGGUCGACCGAGGAACGAGGGCAGCCCUUGCCCGUGACGGUGCACGCCGAAUGGCGGGGCCUCCCGACGCGAGUGAGUCGUGCGGCGUGGACUGCGUGCAGUGCUAGCCGUGGCGGCGAUCUCGAGCCGGAGAGUGCCACCCGUGCGCCAGUGCUGCUGGCAUUGAGACGGCCUCGUCCG
RNAcentral lists this ribosomal RNA (391 nucleotides) under Ircinia sp. PG_BU13. Its description in RNAcentral is "partial 28S ribosomal RNA". Lineage: Eukaryota; Metazoa; Porifera; Demospongiae; Dictyoceratida; Irciniidae. The record is from RNAcentral.